RNAcentral lists this ribosomal RNA (253 nucleotides) under uncultured bacterium. Its description in RNAcentral is "partial 16S ribosomal RNA". It matches the Rfam family "Bacterial small subunit ribosomal RNA", at positions 524 to 776 of the family's 1533-position model. The record is from RNAcentral.
UACAGAGGGUGCAAGCGUUGUUCGGAAUUAUUGGGCGUAAAGCGCGUGUAGGCGGCUUAGCAAGUCGGGUGUGAAAGCCCUCAGCUCAACUGAGGAAGUGCGCCCGAAACUGCUGAGCUUGAGUACCGGAGAGGAUGGCGGAAUUCCCCAAGUAGAGGUGAAAUUCGUAGAUAUGGGGAGGAACACCGGUGGCGAAGGCGGCCAUCUGGACGGUCACUGACGCUGAGACGCGAAAGCGUGGGGAGCAAACAGG